GCUGGCGGCAAGCCUUACACAUGCAAGUCGAGCGGUAACAUUUCUAGCUUGCUAGAAGAUGACGAGCGGCGGACGGGUGAGUAAAGCAUAGGAAUCUGGUCAAUAGAGGGGGAUAGCCCGGAGAAAUCCGGAUUAGUACCGCAUACACUCUAUGGAGAAAAAGCAGGGGGAUCUUCGGACCUUGCGCUAUUGGAUGAGCCUAUGUCGGAUUAGUUAGUUGGUGGGGUAAAGGCCUACCAAGGCAGCGAUCCGUAGCUGGUCUUAGAGGAUGAUCAGCCACAUCGGGACUGAGACACGGCCCGAACUCCUACGGGAGGCAGCAGUGGGGAAUAUUGCACAAUGGGCGCAAGCCUGAUGCAGCUAUGCCGCGUGUGUGAAGAAGGCCUUAGGGUUGUAAAGCACUUUCAGUAGUGAGGAAAAGUGUUGUGUUAAUAGCGCAAUGCCGUGACGUUAGCUACAGAAGAAGGACCGGCAAACUCCGUG
Molecule: ribosomal RNA, 483 nt
Filed under: uncultured bacterium
Lineage: Bacteria
Description: bacterial SSU rRNA
Rfam family: Bacterial small subunit ribosomal RNA
Source: RNAcentral